This 253-nucleotide ribosomal RNA is filed under the name uncultured bacterium. RNAcentral describes it as "partial 16S ribosomal RNA". It matches the Rfam family "Bacterial small subunit ribosomal RNA", at positions 524 to 776 of the family's 1533-position model. The record is from RNAcentral.
UACGAAGGGGGCUAGCGUUGUUCGGAAUCACUGGGCGUAAAGCGCACGCAGGCGGAUUGAUAAGUCGGGGGUGAAAUCCCGGGGCUCAACCUCGGAAUUGCCUUCGAUACUGUCUGUCUUGAGUCCGGGAGAGGUGAGUGGAAUUCCUAGUGUAGAGGUGAAAUUCGUAGAUAUUAGGAAGAACACCAGUGGCGAAGGCGGCUCACUGGCCCGGUACUGACGCUCAUGUGCGAAAGCGUGGGGAUCAAACAGG